Molecule: ribosomal RNA, 422 nt
Filed under: uncultured bacterium
Lineage: Bacteria
Description: bacterial SSU rRNA
Rfam family: Bacterial small subunit ribosomal RNA
Source: RNAcentral
UAAGGAAUAUUGGUCAAUGGACGCAAGUCUGAACCAGCCAUGCCGCGUGGAGGAUUAAGGCCCUCUGGGUUGUAAACUCCUUUUAUCUGGGAAGAAAUGUACUUUUUCUUGAGUACUUGACGGUACCAGAGGAAUAAGCACCGGCUAACUCCGUGCCAGCAGCCGCGGUAAUACGGAGGGUGCAAGCGUUAUCCGGAUUCACUGGGUUUAAAGGGUGCGUAGGUGGGCAGGUAAGUCAGUGGUGAAAUCUCCGGGCUUAACCCGGAAACUGCCGUUGAUACUAUUUGUCUUGAAUAUUGUGGAGGUAAGCGGAAUAUGUCAUGUAGCGGUGAAAUGCUUAGAUAUGACAUGGAACACCAAUUGCGAAGGCAGCUUACUACACAAUCAUUGACGCUGAGGCACGAAAGCGUGGGGAUCAAACA